This 736-nucleotide ribosomal RNA is filed under the name uncultured bacterium. Its description in RNAcentral is "bacterial SSU rRNA". It matches the Rfam family "Bacterial small subunit ribosomal RNA", at positions 59 to 809 of the family's 1533-position model. The record is from RNAcentral.
CAGUCGACGGUGACGGGGCUUCGGCCCCGGGAUCAGUGGCGGACGGGUGCGUAACACGUGGGCAACCUGCCCCGGACACUGGGAUAACUCCGGGAAACCGGGGCUAAUACCGGAUACUCCGCUUGGAUCGCAUGGUCCGAUCGGGAAAGCUUUUGCGGUCUGGGAUGGGCCCGCGGCCUAUCAGCUUGUUGGUGAGGUAACGGCCCACCAAGGCGACGACGGGUAGCUGGUCUGAGAGGACGACCAGCCGCACUGGGACUGAGAUACGGCCCAGACUCCUACGGGAGGCAGCAGUGGGGAAUCUUGCGCAAUGGGCGAAAGCCUGACGCAGCGACGCCGCGUGGGGGAUGAAGGCCCUCGGGUUGUAAACCCCUUUCGGCAGGGACGAAGCGAUUGUGACGGUACCUGCAGAAGAAGCCUCGGCUAACUACGUGCCAGCAGCCGCGGUAAGACGUAGGAGGCGAGCGUUGUCCGGAUUCAUUGGGCGUAAAGAGCACGCAGGCGGUUUGGCAAGUCGGACGUGAAAAUCCGGGGCUCAACCCCGGACCUGCAUCCGAAACUGCCCGACUAGAGGUAGGUAGGGGAGAUCGGAAUUCCUGGUGUAGCGGUGAAAUGCGCAGAUAUCAGGAGGAACACCGGUGGCGAAGGCGGAUCUCUGGGCCUUACCUGACGCUCAGGUGCGAAAGCUAGGGGAGCGAACAGGAUUAGAUACCCUGGUAGAAUCACUAGUGAAUUC